UUAUAUUUUAAUUAUUUACAAAGAUUGAUAUUACUGUCUUCUUUUCUUUUCUAUUUUUGAACUAUAUAUCACUCGUAAAAACUUCAUCUUACACAAAAAAAGAAAAAAAGGUGAUACAUACGAAUCUAAAGACCUGACUGCUUGAGAAUACCUCUCUUCCUGGCAUCAAAGGGAUUGAAAAGAAUGAAAAUUGCGCUGACCAACGUAUAAGCAGGAUUGUUAAAUUUACUGCACUAGGUUAUUAAAAGGCCAUACCUCUUCUUCAGAUACUUUGUUUAACCACUCGUCUUGCUGAUUCCAUUUGCGUACAAUAACC
This 316-nucleotide long non-coding RNA is filed under the name Arabidopsis thaliana (thale cress). Its description in RNAcentral is "long non-coding RNA (ATHA_LNC000455)". The record is from RNAcentral. Lineage: Eukaryota; Viridiplantae; Streptophyta; Magnoliopsida; Brassicales; Brassicaceae.